GAAAUGCGAUAAGUAAUGUGAAUUGCAGAAUUCAGUGAAUCAUCGAAUCUUUGAACGCACCUUGCGCUCCUUGGUAUUCCUUGGAGCAUGCCUGUUUGAGUAUCAUGAAAUCUUCAAAGUAAAUCUUUUGUUAACUCAAUUGGUUUCUACUGUGGUAUUGGAGGUCUUUGCAGCUUCACACCUGCUCCUCUUUGUUCAUUAGCUGGAUCUCAGUGUUAUGCUUGGUUCCACUCGGCGUGAUAAGUUAUCUAUCGCUGAGGACACUGUAAAAGGUGGCCAAGGUAAAUGCAGAUGAACCGCUUCUAAUAGUCCAUUGACUUGGACAAUACUUUUAUGAUCUGAUCUCAAAUCAGGUGGGACUACCCGCUGAACUUAAGC
Molecule: unclassified non-coding RNA, 378 nt
Filed under: plant metagenome
Description: partial contains 5.8S ribosomal RNA, internal transcribed spacer 2, and large subunit ribosomal RNA
Rfam family: 5.8S ribosomal RNA (bases 1-105)
Source: RNAcentral